GCUUAAAGCUUGGCUCACAGCUGUCCAGAGAGCAUUGUGGUAUUGCAGUCCCUAGAUGAUACCUGAAAGCUACUGGUCAUAUCCUUCACUCCAGAAAAAGAGUGCACAAAUAAACCCCAAAAGAGCUGCAAAGCUCCAUGCUAUAACUGAUGAAGUAGCUUCAUUGUUUUGUAGCAAACGAAAAAAUGCCUUGUUUUCCUGGCAGGGGCAGGAGGCAGCUGCACAUCUUCACAUUUGGACUAAGCUGGCCAGUCCCAAGGCAGCUCUCAUCCAGGAGCCAAGGAUCUGCAAUGCAGACAUGAGUAUCACUGCCUUCAAUUUUACAGAUCAGAAAACUGAAACACAAAAAGUCUCCUUUGAGAUUAAAUGCAGCCAAACAAAUUUGGAAGAUUUUCACUCUGUUAUGGGCAAUAAGGAAUAUUUCCUAUAGCAAUUCCCAUUCUGUUAAUACCAGCCAUGAGAUAGCAACAGCUGUCCUGUGCAGGGCCAGGAGCUGGACUUUCAGGAUCUUUGUGGAGCCCUUCCAGCUCAAGAUAUUCCACGAUUCUGGGAUUCCAAGGGUCUGCAGUGGAUUUAUGGUAAAGCAAAAGGGAAGAAAGCUGUGGAGCUUCUUUGCAGGAGGAUGCUUCCAGGACAAGCUUCUGCCUCCAGAGCCAGCACAGGGCUUUUGGAUUUCAGCAGUAUGGCACAGAAACCCUGCAGGGAUGGAGACACUUUUCCUGGUGGUGUUUGUCCCAGCCUGCCCUGCCAGGUGUGUGCAGCAGGGGGAAGGACCCAGGGCUGUGGCCAGGAGCACCAUGGCUGGUGGUGAAUUGAACAGAGAGAAGAUGGUCACAUAUUUAGCAUGGAAGCUUUGUGGGCACCUUUCUAACCCCGUGGGAUCACUGGAGAAGAUAACUCAGGAAGGGGAUGGAACAGCAGUGUCUGUCUGUGUGCAAAGCUCAAGGACACAGGUACAGAAGAACGUGGCACCUCCCAGGCAAACCCUCCUGUCCUACAGUGCCCAGACCCAGGCAAGCACAGGGAACAAGACCAUGACUGAGACAGCCCAAGCUUUGUAG
RNAcentral lists this long non-coding RNA (1061 nucleotides) under Parus major (Great Tit). RNAcentral's name for it is "lncRNA (ENSPMJG00000010344.1)". Lineage: Eukaryota; Metazoa; Chordata; Aves; Passeriformes; Paridae. The record is from RNAcentral.